Molecule: long non-coding RNA, 349 nt
Organism: Salvia splendens (bonfire salvia)
Lineage: Eukaryota; Viridiplantae; Streptophyta; Magnoliopsida; Lamiales; Lamiaceae
Exons: 2
Source: RefSeq, a predicted model, not a curated record
GUGGCGAUGGAUAUUCAAGGGAUGGUGACGUGGCGGUAGUGGGACACGUCAGCGGAAGUGAUGUGAGCCGCGGUGAUGCAUGGCACGUGAGGGCCAAUGGCUGAUUGUGUGCGAUGAGAAAAUGUGUGACGAGCUGGUCAAAGCUAGAAGAUGGUCUGAAAUUAUCGAAGAAUCAAUACCACUUGCCAAAUGUUAUAAAGGUGAAUUUCAUCUCGCCUCUUUUGCCAUCUUUUGCUUACGGCUGGGAUAGUUCUUGGCUUUUGGGGUGGUGUUGCUUUUGCCUCUUUGUUGCAUUCUUUGUUGACGGAAGGUGUGUUGAUCGUUAAAAUGACUUUUGCAUUAUUUUACA